CGCGCAGGCGGAUCUGCCAGUCUGUCUUAAAAGUUCGGGGCUUAACCCCGUGAUGGGAUGGAAACUACAGAUCUAGAGUAUCGGAGAGGAAAGUGGAAUUCCUAGUGUAGCGGUGAAAUGCGUAGAUAUUAGGAAGAACACCAGUGGCGAAGGCGACUUCUGGACGAAAACUAGACGCUGAGGCGCGAAAGCCAGGGGAGCGAACG
This 206-nucleotide ribosomal RNA is filed under the name uncultured bacterium. RNAcentral's name for it is "partial 16S ribosomal RNA". It matches the Rfam family "Bacterial small subunit ribosomal RNA", at positions 568 to 774 of the family's 1533-position model. The record is from RNAcentral.